GGCUGACUUGAUUCAGGGAGAGCUGAAGAAUUUUGCCAAUCCUCAAGAGGUCAUGAUUUUCUUUAGCGCACAUGGGGUUCCCGUCAGUUAUGUUGAUAAUGCUGGAGAUCCAUACAGAGAUGAAAUGGAGGAAUGUAUCUACCUAAUCAUGCAAGAGCUGAAAGCUAGAGGAAUUGGAAAUGAGCAUACUCUUGCUUACCAGAGCCGUGUUGGACCUGUACAAUGGCUGAAGCCAUACACAGAUG
Molecule: unclassified non-coding RNA, 245 nt
Filed under: Hevea brasiliensis (rubber tree)
Lineage: Eukaryota; Viridiplantae; Streptophyta; Magnoliopsida; Malpighiales; Euphorbiaceae
Source: RNAcentral